This 440-nucleotide ribosomal RNA is filed under the name uncultured bacterium. RNAcentral's name for it is "partial 16S ribosomal RNA". It matches the Rfam family "Bacterial small subunit ribosomal RNA", at positions 338 to 795 of the family's 1533-position model. The record is from RNAcentral.
CCUACGGGCGGCAGCAGUAGGGAAUAUUGCUCAAUGGGGGAAACCCUGAAGCAGCAACGCCGCGUGGAGGAUGAAGGUUUUCGGAUUGUAAACUCCUUUUGUUAGAGAAGAUAAUGACGGUAUCUAACGAAUAAGCACCGGCUAACUCCGUGCCAGCAGCCGCGGUAAUACGGAGGGUGGAAGCGUUACUCGGAAUCACUGGGCGUAAAGAGCGCGUAGGCGGGAUAGCAAGUCAGAUGUGAAAUCCUAGGGCUUAACCAUAGAACUGCAUUUGAAACUGUUAUUCUAGAGUAUGGGAGAGGUAGGUGGAAUUCUUGGUGUAGGGGUAAAAUCCGUAGAGAUCAAGAGGAAUACUCAUUGCGAAGGCGACCUGCUAGAACAUAACUGACGCUGAUGCGCGAAAGCGUGGGGAGCAAACAGGAUUAGAUACCCUUGUAGUC